GAUGAACGCUAGCGACAGGCCUAACACAUGCAAGUCGAGGGGCAGCACGGUGUAGCAAUACACGGGUGGCGACCGGCACACGGGUGAGUAACGCGUAUGCAACCUGCCUACUACAAGGGGAUAACCCGUUGAAAGACGGACUAAUACCCUAUAACACAGGGAAUCCGCAUGGAUAUAUUUGUUAAAGAUUUAUCGGUAGUAGAUGGGCAUGCGUUCCAUUAGCUUGUUGGUGAGGUAACGGCUCACCAAGGCAACGAUGGAUAGGGGAACUGAGAGGUUGAUCCCCCACACUGGAACUGAGACACGGUCCAGACUCCUACGGGAGGCAGCAGUGAGGAAUAUUGGUCAAUGGACGAGAGUCUGAACCAGCCAAGUCGCGUGAAGGAAGACGGCCCUACGGGUUGUAAACUUCUUUUGUAAGGGAAUAAAUAGUCUUACGCGCUAAGACGUUGCAGGUACCUUACGAAUAAGGAUCGGCUAACUCCGUGCCAGCAGCCGCGGUAAAAGUCACG
This 512-nucleotide ribosomal RNA is filed under the name uncultured bacterium. Its description in RNAcentral is "bacterial SSU rRNA". It matches the Rfam family "Bacterial small subunit ribosomal RNA", at positions 28 to 531 of the family's 1533-position model. The record is from RNAcentral.